RNAcentral lists this ribosomal RNA (848 nucleotides) under Torrubiella ratticaudata. RNAcentral's name for it is "LSU rRNA". It matches the Rfam family "Eukaryotic large subunit ribosomal RNA", at positions 63 to 940 of the family's 3401-position model. Lineage: Eukaryota; Fungi; Ascomycota; Sordariomycetes; Hypocreales; Cordycipitaceae. The record is from RNAcentral.
AACCAACAGGGAUUGCCCUAGUAACGGCGAGUGAAGCGGCAGCAGCUCAAAUUUGAAAUCUGGCCCCCCGGGUCCGAGUUGUAAUUUGCAGAGGAUGCUUCGGGCCCGGCGCCCUCCGAGUUCCCUGGAACGGGACGCCACAGAGGGUGAGAGCCCCGUCUGGUCGGACGCCGAGGCCCGUGUGAAGCUCCUUCGACGAGUCGAGUAGUUUGGGAAUGCUGCUCAAAACGGGAGGUAUAUGUCUUCUAAAGCUAAAUACCGGCCAGAGACCGAUAGCGCACAAGUAGAGUGAUCGAAAGAUGAAAAGCACUUUGGAAAGAGGGUUAAAGAGUACGUGAAAUUGUUGAAAGGGAAGCGUCUACGACCAGACCCGGGCCCGACGGAUCACCCGGCGUUCUCGCCGGCGCACUCCGCCGGGCCCAGGCCAGCAUCAGUCCGGGGCGGGGGACAAAGGCUCUGGGAACGUGGCUCCGCCUGGAGUGUUAUAGCCCACCGCGCAAUGCCCCGCGCCGGACUGAGGUUCGCGCACCGCAAGGAUGCUGGCGUAAUGGUCGUCGGCGACCCGUCUUGAAACACGGACCAAGGAGUCGUCUUCGUAUGCGAGUGUCGGGGUGCCAAACCCCCACGCGGAAUGAAAGUGAACGCAGGUGAGAGCCUUUGGCGCAUCACCGACCGAUCCUGACGUUCUCAGAUGGAUUUGAGUAGGAGCAUACGGGGCCGGACCCGAAAGAAGGUGAACUAUGCCUGUGUAGGGUGAAGCCAGAGGAAACUCUGGUGGAGGCUCGCAGCGGUUCUNACGUGCGAAUCGAUCGUCAAACAUGGGCAUGGGGGCGAAAGACUAAUCGAAC